Meloidogyne enterolobii is the source of this 79-nucleotide non-coding RNA. NCBI's taxonomy places the organism in Eukaryota, Metazoa, Nematoda, Chromadorea, Rhabditida, Meloidogynidae. The record is from the annotation of a GenBank genome assembly.
GUCUCGUUGGUUAAGUUGGUUAUGUUGCCAACUUAAACCUAUUAAAUAGGGGGCGGAGGUUCGAAUCCUUCAUGGAAUA